GACGAACGCUGGCGGCGUGCUUAACACAUGCAAGUCGAACGGAAAGGCCCUGCUUUUGUGGGGUGCUCGAGUGGCGAACGGGUGAGUAACACGUGUGUAACCUGCCCUUGACUUUGGGAUAACUUCAGGAAACUGGGGCUAAUACCGGAUAGGAGCUCCUGCUGCAUGGUGGGGGUUGGAAAGUUUCGGCGGUUGGGGAUGGACUCGCGGCUUAUCAGCUUGUUGGUGGGGUAGUGGCUUACCAAGGCUUUGACGGGUAGCCGGCCUGAGAGGGUGGCCGGCCACAUGGGGACUGAGAUACGGCCCAGACGCCUACGGGAGGCAGCAGGGGGGAAUAUUGCACAAUGGGCGGAAGCCUGAUGCAGCAACGCCGCGUGCGGGAUGACGGCCUUCGGGUUGUAAACCGCUUUCGCCUGUGACGAAGCGUGAGUGACGGUAAUGGGUAAAGAAGCACCGGCUAACUACGUG
This 468-nucleotide ribosomal RNA is filed under the name uncultured bacterium. Its description in RNAcentral is "partial 16S ribosomal RNA". It matches the Rfam family "Bacterial small subunit ribosomal RNA", at positions 28 to 507 of the family's 1533-position model. The record is from RNAcentral.